RNAcentral lists this ribosomal RNA (440 nucleotides) under uncultured bacterium. Its description in RNAcentral is "partial 16S ribosomal RNA". It matches the Rfam family "Bacterial small subunit ribosomal RNA", at positions 338 to 795 of the family's 1533-position model. The record is from RNAcentral.
CCUACGGGUGGCAGCAGUGGGGGAUAUUGCACAAUGGGGGAAACCCUGAUGCAGCGACGCCGCGUGUGGGAAGACGGUCCUCUGGAUUGUAAACCACUGUCCCCAGGGACGAAGAUGACGGUACCUGGGGAGGAAGCUCCGGCUAACUACGUGCCAGCAGCCGCGGUAAUACGUAGGGAGCGAGCGUUGUCCGGAAUUACUGGGUGGAAAGGGAGCGUAGGCGGGACUGCAAGUUGGGUGUCAAAUCUACCGGCGCAACCGGUAGCCGCACUCAAAACUGUAGUUCUUGAGUGAAGUAGAGGCAGGCGGAAUUCCUAGUGUAGCGGUGAAAUGCGUAGAUAUUAGGAGGAACACCAGUGGCGAAGGCGGCCUGCUGGGCUUUUACUGACGCAGAGGCUCGAAAGUGUGGGGAGCAAACAGGAUUAGAUACCCGAGUAGUC